UAAUGUAUAGCUAAUCUGCCCUAUGCAGGAGGACAACAGUUAGAAAUGACUGCUAAUACUCCAUACUCCCUCUUAACAUAAGUUAAGUUGGGAAAGUUUUUCGGCAUAGGAUGAGGCUAUAUUGUAUCAGCUAGUUGGUGAGGUAAUGGCUCACCAAGGCUAUGACGCAUAACUGGUCUGAGAGGAUGAUCAGUCACACUGGAACUGAGACACGGUCCAGACUCCUACGGGAGGCAGCAGUAGGGAAUAUUGCUCAAUGGGGGAAACCCUGAAGCAGCAACGCCGCGUGGAGGAUGACACUUUUCGGAGCGUAAACUCCUUUUGUUAGGGAAGAACCAUGACGGUACCUAACGAAUAAGCACCGGCUAACUCCGUGCCAGCAGCCGCGGUAAUACGGGGGGUGCAAGCGUUACUCGGAAUCACUGGGCGUAAAGGACGCGUAGGCGGAUUAUCAAGUCUCUUGUGAAAUCCUAUGGCUUAACCAUAGAACUGCCUGGGAAACUGAUAAUCUAGAGUGAGGGAGAGGCAGAUGGAAUUGGUGGUGUAGGGGUAAAAUCCGUAGAGAUCACCAGGAAUACCCAUUGCGAAGGCGAUCUGCUGGAACUCAACUGACGCUAAGGCGUGAAAGCGUGGGGAGCAAACAGGAUUAGAUACCCUGGUAGUCCACGCCCUAAACGAUGUAUACUAGUUGUUGCUAAGCUAGUCUUGGCAGUAAUGCACCUAACGGAUUAAGUAUACCGCCUGGGGAGUACGGUCGCAAGAUUAAAACU
RNAcentral lists this ribosomal RNA (770 nucleotides) under uncultured bacterium. RNAcentral describes it as "bacterial SSU rRNA". It matches the Rfam family "Bacterial small subunit ribosomal RNA", at positions 111 to 901 of the family's 1533-position model. The record is from RNAcentral.